Long non-coding RNA from Oncorhynchus keta (chum salmon), 555 nucleotides. RefSeq lists it as uncharacterized. The transcript is spliced from 3 exons. NCBI's taxonomy places the organism in Eukaryota, Metazoa, Chordata, Actinopteri, Salmoniformes, Salmonidae. The record is from RefSeq and is a predicted model, not a curated record.
UCCAAAUACAAGGUCCAGUCCACAGCUGAAAAAACACACACACACACACACACAGGUCCAAAUACAAGGUCUAGUCCACAGCUGAAAACACACACACACACACCAAAAUACAAGGUCCAGUCCACAGCUGAAAACACACACACAGGUCAAAAUACAAGGUCCAGUCCACAGCUGAAAACACACACCAAAAUACAAGGUCCAGUCCACAGCUGAAAACACACAGGUCCAGUCCACAGCUGAAAACACACAGGUCCAAAUACCAGGUCCAGUCCACAGCUGAAAACACACACACAGGUCCAAAUACCAGGUCCAGUCCACAGCUGAAACACACACAGGUCCAAAUACCAGGUCCAGUCCACAGCUGAAACACACACAGGUCCAAAUACCAGGUCCAGUCCACAGCUGAAAACAGACAGGUCCAAAUACCAGGUCCAGUCCACAGCUGAAACACACAGGUCCAAAUACAAGGUCCAGUCCACAGCUGAAACACACACAGGUCCAAAUACCAGGUCCAGUCCACAGCUGAAACACACACAGGUCCAAAUACCAGGUCCA